AGUCAACCUACCCUAUGGACGGGAAUAGCCUCGGGAAACUGAGAAUAAUGCCCGAUAGAACAUUAUGCCUGGAAUGGUUUAUGUUCCAAAUGAUUCAUCGCCGUAGGAUGGGACUGCGGCCUAUCAGUUUGUUGGUGAGGUAAUGGCCCACCAAGACUAUUACAGGUACGGGCUCUGAGAGGAGUAGCCCGGAGAUGGGUACUGAGACACGGACCCAGGCCCUAUGGGGCGCAGCAGGCGAGAAAACUUUGCAAUGUGCGAAAGCACGACAAGGUUAAUCCGAGUGGUUUCUGCUAAAGGAACCUUUUGUCGGUCCUAGAAACACCGAUGAAUAAGGGGUGGGCAAGUUCUGGUGUCAGCCGCCGCGGUAAAACCAGCACCUCAAGUGGUCAGGAUGAUUAUUGGGCCUAAAGCAUCCGUAGCCUGCUUUGUAAGUUUUCGGUUAAAUCCAUGUGCUCAACACAUGGGCUGCCGGGAAUACUGCACAGCUAGGGAGUGGGAGAGGUAGACGGUACUUGAUAGGAAGGGGUAAAAUCCUUUGAUCUAUUGAUGACCACCUGUGGCGAAGGCGGUCUACCAGAACACGUCCGACGGUGAGGGAUGAAAGCUGGGGGAGCAAACCGGAUUAGAUACCCGGGUAGUCCCAGCUGUAAACUAUGCAAACUCAGUGAUGCAUUGGCUUGUGGCUAAUGCAGUGCU
Molecule: ribosomal RNA, 699 nt
Filed under: uncultured marine archaeon
Lineage: Archaea
Description: bacterial SSU rRNA
Rfam family: Archaeal small subunit ribosomal RNA
Source: RNAcentral